CUCGUAGGCGGUUCGUCGCGUCCGGUGUGAAAGUCCAUCGCUUAACGGUGGAUCCGCGCCGGGUACAGGCGGGCUUGAGUGCGGUAGGGGAGACUGGAAUUCCCGGUGUAACGGUGGAAUGUGUAGAUAUCGGGAAGAACACCAAUGGCGAAGGCAGGUCUCUGGGCCGUUACUGACGCUGAGGAGCGAAAGCGUGGGGAGCGAACA
RNAcentral lists this ribosomal RNA (207 nucleotides) under uncultured bacterium. RNAcentral's name for it is "partial 16S ribosomal RNA". It matches the Rfam family "Bacterial small subunit ribosomal RNA", at positions 568 to 774 of the family's 1533-position model. The record is from RNAcentral.